Non-coding RNA from Paramuricea clavata, 917 nucleotides. NCBI's taxonomy places the organism in Eukaryota, Metazoa, Cnidaria, Anthozoa, Malacalcyonacea, Plexauridae. The record is from the annotation of a GenBank genome assembly.
UAUAGGACGUAUAUUUUAUACAAUUUAUUCCACUGAAGGAACAUUUCCUCGAAUGAUAUCCACAGGAGUAUAUAUAUACAAAUGUGGUCUAUAAGACUAUAUAUUUACAAUCUCCGUUUACUCUUAAUUGGAGUCUACCCUCUCUGUCAAAUGAUAUUUUAGAGUAAAACAUAAGCUACAGGUCUGCCUCGCAUAUCGGCGUUAGGCCAUGAACAGUUACAAGGCACCGCGUACUGUCCUGCCGGGGAAUUAGGUCCACCACUAUGGGUAUGAGUGUGUGUAUGUGGUGCUGUGGAAUUCAUUGGCGAUGUUGGAAUAAGCGCUGAAUGAUUCAGCCUUGUUUGUGAUGCGAUGCCAGGGUAGGGUGAAUAAUAAGGAGUUGUAGGCAAAAGUUCUGGUCUUGUUGUAUUCGUAUCAUAAGCUGCAGCAUAAUGAGCAUAGCUAGAUUCAAGUCUACUGUUAGCUGAUGUUGUUGCCAUGAAUGACCUUGCUUUCACUGUUUGAGUGUACUCAGGUGACAUAAAUGAUCUUGCAGAAGGAAGACUUAACGUUGGAUAUUUGGUUAAAGGGUCAAGGAUAGGUUGAAACGGUAAUGGAAAAGCAUAACGGUCUUUCUUCAAUAACGAUUUUGGUUUUCGUCGCGGUCUGUAUUUGUAAUCAGGGUGUUCUUUCAUAUGCAGUGCUCUGAGUCGUCUAGCCUCUUCAAUAUGUGGUCGUUUGUCUUCUUCUGUCAGUUCCUUCCAUAAUUCCCCAAGUUGUUUGGAGAUUUCCGAGUUAUGCAUCUUUGGAUUCUCCUCCGCCAUCUUCUUCCUCUCGGCCCGGGACCAAACCAUGAAAGCAUUCAUCGGACGUUUGAUAUGAUUUUCAGAUUUUGAAGACAUCUCUUUUCUUUAGAUUUCAAACCUACAACAACCAAC